GGGAGUUCCAGCUAUGUAUUAUAGAGUGACGUGCACACGCCUGACACCUGUACAUUUGAUUAAAAAAAAAUUAAAAUAUUUUUCUUAUUCUUUUCCUUAUCUUCUUUUAAUAUAUAUAUAUAUAUAUACAUAUUACAUUUUCCUCUCUCAUUUGGCUUUCUUAAUAAUUUCAGCUCCUCCCUUCUUCAUUGCCACCGCUGACGAGCUACCAUGCCGGAGCUCCGGCGAACUCCAUCUCCCAAUCAGCCACUGCCCUAUUCCCACUUCUCUCACCUCUGUUCUCACCCUCUUCCCCUCCCCUCCGUUUGCCGGCCAUGGCCUACUGAAACUAGUAAGAAGCAACCAGUUCUAACCAGAUUUCUUAAGAUAUGAUUGGAUUUCUGGUCCUUUAACAACUAAUGGAAUUAUCAUUCAUCAACUAAAAACCCUAAUUGAAUUAUUCACAUAAUAGCUAUGACAUCACAGAAGAAAGAAUCAGAGGGCAUCGGUCCAAUGUCUAUCUAUGGCGAUGAGGAAGAUGAUGAAAUCAUUCUCAGGAAACUCUUCAAGGCAAUUGCGUUUUUCUUGGGUCAAUUUGUUGGUCGUGGAAAGGUUAGGGUUUUUUGGUGGUGGUGGUGUCUCAUAUUUGGGUUUUACGUGGUGGUGGUGUCUUAGAUUAAGAUUUUGAUGGUGGUGGAGAGAUUAGGGUUUUUGGUGGUGGUAGUGUCUCAGAUCUGACCGUGUGUAUUUGUUAAAAGCCAAAUACAAAUACAUUAAAAAAUCUACAUCUCACAAAUACACUGUUUUUUAAUGUAUUUGUCUUUGUAUUUUUUGAGUGUAUUUCUUAGUGUAUUUUGUUAAUUUUUGUAUUUGUAUCUGAAUGUAUUUGUUGAAAUUCAUUCAAAUACACGAAAAUUUGAAUA
Molecule: long non-coding RNA, 902 nt
Organism: Lycium barbarum (goji berry)
Lineage: Eukaryota; Viridiplantae; Streptophyta; Magnoliopsida; Solanales; Solanaceae
Exons: 2
Source: RefSeq, a predicted model, not a curated record